GCCAGACUCCUACGGGAGGCAGCAGUGGGGAAUAUUGCACAAUGGGGGAAACCCUGAUGCAGCGACGCCGCGUGAGUGAAGAAGUAUUUCGGUAUGUAAAGCUCUAUCAGCAGGGAAGAAAAUGACGGUACCUGAUUAAGAAGCCCCGGCUAACUACGUGCCAGCAGCCGCGGUAAUACGUAGGGGGCAAGCGUUAUCCGGAUUUACUGGGUGUAAAGGGAGCGUAGACGGCAAUACAAGUCGGAAGUGAAAUACCCGGGCUUAACCUGGGAACUGCUUUGGAAACUGUAUGGCUGGAGUGCUGGAGAGGUAAGCGGAAUUCCUAGUGUAGCGGUGAAAUGCGUAGAUAUUAGGAGGAACACCAGUGGCGAAGGCGGCUUACUGGACGACUACUGACGCUGAGGCUCGAAAGCGUGGGGAGCAAACAGGAUUAGAUACCCGAGUA
Molecule: ribosomal RNA, 445 nt
Filed under: uncultured bacterium
Lineage: Bacteria
Description: bacterial SSU rRNA
Rfam family: Bacterial small subunit ribosomal RNA
Source: RNAcentral